RNAcentral lists this ribosomal RNA (497 nucleotides) under uncultured bacterium. Its description in RNAcentral is "partial 16S ribosomal RNA". It matches the Rfam family "Bacterial small subunit ribosomal RNA", at positions 28 to 507 of the family's 1533-position model. The record is from RNAcentral.
GAUGAACGCUGGCGGCGUGCCUAAUACAUGCAAGUCGAGCGAACAGACGGGGAGCUUGCUCCUCUGACGUUAGCGGCGGACGGGUGAGUAACACGUGGAUAACCUACCUAUAAGACUGGGAUAACUUCGGGAAACCGGAGCUAAUACCGGAUAAUAUAUUGAACCGCAUGGUUCAAUAGUGAAAGACGGUUUUGCUGUCACUUAUAGAUGGAUCCGCGCCGCAUUAGCUAGUUGGUAAGGUAACGGCUUACCAAGGCGACGAUGCGUAGCCGACCUGAGAGGGUGAUCGGCCACACUGGAACUGAGACACGGUCCAGACUCCUACGGGAGGCAGCAGUAGGGAAUCUUCCGCAAUGGGCGAAAGCCUGACGGAGCAACGCCGCGUGAGUGAUGAAGGUCUUCGGAUCGUAAAACUCUGUUAUUAGGGAAGAACAAAUGUGUAAGUAACUAUGCACGUCUUGACGGUACCUAAUCAGAAAGCCACGGCUAACUACGUG